GACCUAGUGGUGCAACGUUGCACAGCCGCCCUCUUUUCGGGGACCUGCAUGAGAAUAAAGCAGGAGGUCCUGGUUCGAAUCCGGGUUAGGUCA
Molecule: non-coding RNA, 93 nt
Organism: Mycena vulgaris
Lineage: Eukaryota; Fungi; Basidiomycota; Agaricomycetes; Agaricales; Mycenaceae
Source: the annotation of a GenBank genome assembly